Molecule: ribosomal RNA, 508 nt
Filed under: uncultured bacterium
Lineage: Bacteria
Description: partial 16S ribosomal RNA
Rfam family: Bacterial small subunit ribosomal RNA
Source: RNAcentral
GAUGAACGCUAGCUACAGGCUUAACGCAUGCAAGUCGAGGGGAAACGAUAGAGAAAGCUUGCUUUUUCUAGGCGUCGACCGGCGCACGGGUGAGUAACGCGUAUCCAACCUGCCCAUCACUUGGGGAUAACCUUGCGAAAGUAAGACCAAUACCCAAUGAUAUCUCUAGAAGACAUCUGAAAGAGAUUAAAGAUUUAUCGGUGAUGGAUGGGGAUGCGUCUGAUUAGCUUGUUGGCGGGGUAACGGCCCACCAAGGCGACGAUCAGUAGGGGUUCUGAGAGGAAGGUCCCCCACAUUGGAACUGAGACACGGUCCAAACUCCUACGGGAGGCAGCAGUGAGGAGUAUUGGUCAAUGGACGAGAGACUGAACCAGCCAAGUAGCGUGCAGGAUGACGGCCCUAUGGGUUGUAAACUGCUUUUAUAAGGGAAUAAAGUGAGUCUCGUGAGACUUUUUGCAUGUACCUUAUGAAUAAGGACCGGCUAAUUCCGUGCCAGCAGCCGCAGUAA